UGGGGAAUCUUCCGCAAUGGACGAAAGUCUGACGGAGCAACGCCGCGUGAGUGAUGACGGCCUUCGGGUUGUAAAGCUCUGUUAAUCGGGACGAAAGGUCCUCUUGCGAAUAGUUAGAGGAAUUGACGGUACCGGAAUAGAAAGCCACGGCUAACUACGUGCCAGCAGCCGCGGUAAUACGUAGGUGGCAAGCGUUGUCCGGAAUUAUUGGGCGUAAAGCGCGCGCAGGCGGAUUAGUCAGUCUGUCUUAAAAGUUCGGGGCUUAACCCCGUGAUGGGAUGGAAACUGCUGAUCUAGAGUAUCGGAGAGGAAAGUGGAAUUCCUAGUGUAGCGGUGAAAUGCGUAGAUAUUAGGAAGAACACCAGUGGCGAAGGCGACUUUCUGGACGAAAACUGACGCUGAGGCGCGAAAGCCAGGGGAGCGAACGGGAUUAGAUACCCCGGUAGUCCUGGCCGUAAACGAUGAGUACUAGGUGUAGGAGGUAUCGACCCCUUCUGUGCCGGAGUUAACGCAAUAAGUACCCCGCCUGGGGAGUACGGCCGCAAGGUUA
Molecule: ribosomal RNA, 550 nt
Filed under: uncultured bacterium
Lineage: Bacteria
Description: bacterial SSU rRNA
Rfam family: Bacterial small subunit ribosomal RNA
Source: RNAcentral